UACAGUCAAACCAUGUUGAAAACACCAGUUCUCAUUUGAUCACUGAAGUUAAGCAGUGUCAAGCCUGGUCAAUAUUUAGAUGAGUGACUAUCUGGGUACUCCAGGCAGUU
Molecule: non-coding RNA, 110 nt
Organism: Acanthosepion pharaonis
Lineage: Eukaryota; Metazoa; Mollusca; Cephalopoda; Sepiida; Sepiidae
Source: the annotation of a GenBank genome assembly